This is a non-coding RNA of Bactrocera oleae (olive fruit fly), 3940 nucleotides long. Lineage: Eukaryota; Metazoa; Arthropoda; Insecta; Diptera; Tephritidae. The record is from RefSeq and is a predicted model, not a curated record.
CUUGAAUUUAUUUUUAGCAAAAAAAUACUUAAAUUUUGUGAAAAGCGGCAUUUUGCCACCAAAAUGGUAUAAAAUCGGCGUGGCAUAAAGGCAAACAUCAUUUAUUGACAGACGAAAUAAAAUGUGCAGACAUGAAAAUAAAAAGAAAAAAAGUGAAAAGUGCACAAUGAAAAAAAAAAAAUUUCGGGAAAAACGAAAAAAAUAAACCUGCAGCAAAAUUCAGACAUUACUACAUGUGCCUGUCAACAUUUUAAUUAAAAAAGGAUACGCGUCUCAUAUGAAGAACGGAUGUUGGCAAAUACGCGCGCAACCAAAUAGUCAACACAACUGACCGCCACACGAGCCGGCAGACUGGGAAGCGCGACGGAGACGUCGACACACAUUAAAAUAUUUGACAGAGGGCGCAACAUUCGCGCUUUUGUCAACAACAACAAGAGCAAGAAGUGGAGUAGCAACAAUAGUAAUGACCAGUAGUGGCACUCGAGUAAUUUUCCUAUACUUGCGCGGGGGUAUGAGUGCAGCGGCACAAUGAAAGGUAUUCUGACGGGAGCAUGGAUUGAGUACAGAGUGAAGUUGGCGAGGCAGCAUAUUGUGCGCUGGAUCGGGUCAUUACGUGUUGGCUGCUGACAAUAGACAGUUCGUUGGCACAAAAAUCAAAAAAAAAAAAAAACAGGCACAACAAAAAAGCAUGUGUAAUGAGAAUCUCAACUGACCUGUGUAGUGGUGGUCAAGCCGUCAGCGUGCGGAAGCCACUAAAGGCUCCAUUGCAACUGCUCAUACUUGCAAUCCAUUUUUCGCUCGCAUAUUUCGCUCUCAACAUCGAACUGCCUUAGCUAUUGUUUGCAUCAUUUUAAUUUUAUUUAUUGUUUGCCUGCCACUCAAAAUACAUAAAAACGUGCAAUGAACAAUGGCUUUUACGCGUUGCCUGUCAAGUCACCGUUAUGCGCACCACUGUGGUCCAAACAAUCAACCUGUUCGCUGGGCUCUAACUCACUGCAAGCACUUCCUCCCGCCCUGUUUUAUUUGUUGUUGCUGAGCAUUCAAAUUAGAUGAAUUGCUUUUUGGUGAGCUCUAACUCAAACCUUGUGCGACCUCCGCUUUCAUUUGUCGCUGACCGUUCGCUUUUGCGCCGCUGAGCAGCAGCUUUUGCUUGGCAUUCUCGCUCUCUCGCGCUUCGGGCACAAGUCAUUCGUGGACAGAAGUCAUUGAUGCUUACAGUUUUAGUAAUUUCGUUUCGUUCUCUAUUGCUUUCAUCCUAAAUUUAAGUUGCAGCUUCCACAGCACGUAUGUAUGUCGUUUAAUCGUCCGAACUGCCCACGAACUCACGGUUGCAUUUCAUUUAUAAUGACUUAUCGUCAGCUUGGUCGGCCAACUAACGGACCCACCGCCAUUUAUGCAGUUACUUCCACCUCUAAUGCCACCGCAUACUCGUAUGCUUAUUACAUUUCGUCUCGCCCUCUCUCUCUCUCUCUUGACUGCUUGCUAUCUCCUUCCCUUCUACCGAAUUUUACAUUGUUGCCCCCGCUUUUGUGUUAUUUUCUAGUCAUGUCAAUGGUUUUGCGGACAUUUAUUGUUUGAAAGCUAUUACCCCUGCCAUGGCGCUGAUACUCAUCCUCAAGGCAACUAUGCUCUACUCAGCUCAUUUGGUUCGUCACUUGGGGACCCAUUCGAAAAACGACACGGUGGUCGUUGGUCGUCGACACUCUGUUUUUGAUUGUUUUGCAAAAUGUUUUACGUACUCAGUCAUUCAUGCAAAUCAUCUUAACUGGUUUGGGUACUAUAUUUCUGGGGAGAGAUUGCAGCUUUGCAAUUGCAGCAUGUUUGCUGGUUGAAGGCGAAGUAAAAAAUUCAAUGAUUUUAUGAAAAGAAUAGCCUUGAGUGCUGGAAAAUAUGCAUUUUAAGUGCCGCGCCGCAAAUAAUCAUAAAUUUUUACUUUUCAUUUGAGUAUCAUUUCAAAUUUGUGGAUGUAAAAAGAGUGGGAGAAAGAGAGCGGAAGAUCAAGCGCUGACCACUUCAAUUUGUUUUAAAUGUCAUGUUGACAAUAUUUGUACAUUCAUGGGAAGAUUAAAUGAAGAACAAGAAGCUGAAGUAAUACUAAAUUAACAUACAUUAAGAUUACUUAAGUGAUCCGAGGCUUCAGCAUUUAGUUUGAUGUUAGAAGCGCACAGCCUGAUUUUGUCUCUUUGUCAUGUAUGAUCGAGAAAGAUGACUUCAAUCUAUCAGUACUCUUAAACUUUCUUUUUAAAUAUUUUGGAAAUCUAAAGACUGUUUUAACUGAAACCUUAACUCCAAAGCUUAAAGAAAAAAGAAUAGUGGAUCUAACGAUCUUCACAUAAGAGAAAGAAGAACUUAUGGCUUGAAGGACAAUCCACCUUACUCCGUCGAUCUUUUAUGCAGACGACGUAGGUUAGAAGAAGUCAACUAUGCUGGUCAACAAACAGAGUUUGGGUGGUUGCGUGAUCCUUUUUACGUAGCUCUGAAUUAUAUGCUCUUAGCAAUGUUCAUCAUAUCGUAAUCAUCGGUUUCUGACUGGAUACUGUCCAAUCAUGACGUGUGCUAAUUGGCAAAGCUGAAGGCGACUUGGAAUCAUCUAAGAGAUUUCUUUUCUACUGACCAGUUUUUACCAGACAGAAGUUGAAGCAUCGCGGUGAAGCCACUGAAUUCUCUGUAAUUGAUAUUACCCGCCUUAAAUAAAUUGUGGAUCAGGGUUUACAGCAGUCCAAGUGCUUCCUUACUUUCGGUGCGAGGAUAAAUCCCAUGAUGUAACCAAGAAAGAGAUGUUGAUAUCUUUCAUUUGAAUAAGGUACAGAAGGGGAGACUAAUGCUUAGCUCGACAUAGUAAAGGUCAAAUAGAGAUAUUUAAGAGAAAACACCCUAUUCAGGUACCCACGCGCAGCACCACUCUGAAAGUCAUAUAUCUGUCGGCAAGUAACCAAAAUUCCGCAACAAAUUACGCAACAUUAAAAUUGUCGUCACAUUUCUGAGGAAGUUUUUCAACUUCCAGGCGCAAUAUAAACAAAAAAGUAAGGGAAUGAGAAAAAUCUCAAAUUUUUACGACAGAAGUACGCAAUUGCCAAAAGCAACUUUAUUUUUUUUUUGUGUUCGUCAUUUUUUUCGCUCGAAAAAAUACCUUAAGGGCAGUCUAAUGACUUUUUAGCGCAGCCACGAAGUGGUCAACUUGAGUCGUAUGAUGAAAAAGUUGCAUUUACGCGCACAUAAAUUAUGCAACGUAGUAGCUUAUGUGAGCGCCGUAGUUCACAUAACCUCACUUUUAGUGUGCAAAGAGACGAGACAAGCGAAAAACAAAAUUUAUGAGCACAUCAACGCAUCAAAAUUAUAGACUGGACAAUGGUCAAUUGAGAAAUGGCACUGUAGAACACGCACACACACACAUGUAUGCUGAAGUAAAUACUAUAGUCUACAACACCAACAAUGCGCAACAAAUAAACUCGCUUACUAUGACUUUGUAUACGGUGAGACAAUGAACUGUUGUGCACAGCAGGAAAUUACCGCUUCACCAGCGCUUCAUCGGCAUCAUCAGCAAUAAGAAAUGACACUAAAAUGUCCUUGUUUAUUGCCUGGUUUAGCCGAUUUUAUUGAACAACUUUUCUGCAUAUAAAUUUGCAGAUUAGUUAAAAUUUUUCCAACAAUACAAACAAACAUAUAAGAAAUGCGCAACUGCAAGGAUAUCAUUUGCCUUUGAAGGACAAUGAGUUGUGUGAGUCUACGUGUAUAUGUGUGUUGCUUGAGAACUCAUACAUAAUUGUAUGUCUGAAAUUAUUACGUCUCUUUUGUUUAUGAUCCUUAAGAGUCUUAUACGCUCACUGUUGCUUCUCAUUAAUGCUUAUUUUUAGUGUUGUUAUUGUUGCUAUAGCGCAGAAAAUGUGAUAAAGUAGACAAACAAGUAAAUAAAAUUUGUACAAAGAAUUUGUGAUGAGAC